CACAAACGAGAGAACAGCUCACUGACCAUUUUACUUGCCCUAACAGAUCUGGCUAGGCUGUUUUUAUGUCAUCCAGGGCGUUGGUGACUGCAACUGUGCUGCUGGCAACAAUUUACGCUUUUUUCCAACGUUUACUGACACCGCAUAUAGGGUGUUGAGCAUAAAUUCGUCAAAUAUUCUGCGCUCUGGCACACACAGACGAAAGUGCUCUGAAAUCGGAGUAGAUAGCCAGAGCGAAUUUACGAGACUGAAGAUGCACUGAAGGAAUACCUGGAAAGAAAGGCCAGCAUUGGCCAAACCAUCCUGUAAGCAGACCAGUCCCUCACUGAAGCAGAGAGCAGAAGCUCUCUCCAUCCUGGUGUCUCACCCUGGAAGAAGAGUCCACUUGGCUGCUUGGAGGCCACUGCUGAGACAGCCAGCCACACCACCGUGUCGGCCCCCAUGGACUCCGUACGCAGCUUGUUCUUCAUCUUAGCAUGGAAGUCAGGCAUGGACAACUGGACAGCUACAGGGAACACAGAGACACAGAUACAUUAGCAAGUCAACAGAUGCAGGGAGUUUUUCCAACACAGAAUAAUCAUUAAGAAAUGCAUGGAGGCUUGUACUGAUGAAUAUUUGUCUAGAUUUCUGACUUUAGAUAAGUGUACCUGGAGUAUCAGCCCAGCCAGGGUGCAUUGAUGAAAAGUGGAUCUCUUUAUGCUGGGACGCCCAUCUCUCGGUCAGUAUCACCUGUUGUCUCUGUCACCACAACACACAGCACAUCACUUUCACAGAGAAUAUAACAGAACUGUAACAUACUUUUUUACAGAUUUAUUUUGUGGUCAUAGGCUAGAUAAUGCAUUUGCUCAGGGGUGAGUGGGUAGUAGAGCUGCACCAUAUCCUAACUUUAUUCUGAGCGUAGGCCAUAGUGCCGUCGAACAUCCCCUUUUCAGACUGCAGGUCGUCUACUUUCAUCUUCUGGACCAGCAUGCCCCCUGAAGACACUGUGAUCUGGAGGAGAGGGGUGAUUAUCAUCAUGACAAUAUGGGCUGUUAGACUGCUAGACAGAUGGAACAUGUCCUUUUGUUGUUUUUGUAAUAUGUAAUAGAUUCCUUUGAUGCAUUUGUUCAGACACACUAGGCCCUCUGCUGGUCAAUUAGACAUUAAUACAAGCGCAAACAAACACAGAACUAAUGGCAAACACAGAACUAAAGGCCAUACAAGAGCCACUUUUCAAACUUUUCUCAUUUCAUUGAUUGGGCCAAUGUCAUCUGUCUAAGGCAGGACAUUACUCACCACUCGUGGGUCCUGUGCCUGUUUCAGGGCUGGUAUCAACGCUGUGGUUAGGAUGAAGGUACCUAACCAAGUGAACAGUAAUGAUGAGGAAGAACAUUGUGAGAAAACAUAUCAACCUAUAUAGGUAAGUGGUGUGCAUUGUUUCCAAUGAGACGUGACUACUGCCCUUGGGUUGAUCUUACUUACCGAGAGUGUUAGUAGCAAAGUUCUUCUCUACACCUUCCUCUGUCAGCUCUUUCUGGUUUACCAUACACCCUGCAUUGUUGAUCUGGGGAAGAAAGAAUCAUAAUUAAUAAACUUGUAUUGAAUUAAUUCAAUGAAUCUAAUCACUCAUGUGGAAUCAUACCCAAUCACUCAUAUUGAAUCAUUCAUAUAUCAUCCUAUUCAAACUAGCAGCCCAUCAACCCUUUAAUCUAUUCAAUGGACUAACCCAUGUGUGGGGCUUGGAGAUGAUUCACCCACCUAACAGAUACCUUACCAGUACAUGAAUGCUGUUGCUUUUUGAGAAGCUCUCUGCAAACUCCCACACUUGUCUUGCACUGGACAUGUCAACGAUGUGAACAUGGACAUUCUGCAGAGACAAAGAAAAUGUAAAUGAAAAAGAAACCACAUAGAAGCACAUUAAGUGCUUCUACAUCUGCAUUGCUUGCGGUUUGGGGUUUUAAGCUGGGUUUCUGUACAGCACUUUAAGAUAUCAGCUGAUGUAAGAAGGGCUAUAUAAAUAUAUAAAUACAUUUGAUUUGAUUUGAUUCUGAACUAUUACGCUGGCAGUUGGAAAGAUUGAUUACAGUAUUCAAAUUGGAUCACAAAGAAGCCAAACAUGGAAUUUUGGGAGUGUGAGCCGGGGACUUGAGUAUAGACACAGCAGUGUUACUUUUCUACCAAACCAGAGGCGUAACAACCCCCAGACAUGAUUGUGCAGGAACUAUCAAACCAUCCUCUGUUUCUGUUUGACUAAGUGCUUGUCCACAAUAAUCAGUCUAAGCAAGGCAAGAAGCAGAUCAUCUCAUCUGUAAAUCACCUCAACUUCCACCCAACUGGGCAUAAAAGAUCCUUAUCAUUGUUAGAUUAGCCAAACUAAUCUGUGCAGCACCUAACUCAUGAUGACCCCAUGAAUAUGCCACAUUGUGACCCCAUGAACAAAGCUGAUCACAAUUUACUCAAUGGCUUGCUCUUCAUCAUUCACCAGACCUUUGCUGGGCAUGAAUAAACAUGUGUGGUGUUA
Long non-coding RNA from Salmo salar (Atlantic salmon), 2500 nucleotides. RefSeq lists it as uncharacterized. Lineage: Eukaryota; Metazoa; Chordata; Actinopteri; Salmoniformes; Salmonidae. The record is from RefSeq and is a predicted model, not a curated record.